CCCUAAAUCUCGAUGCUUAACUCACCAAAGCAUCCGCCUGAGAACUACGAGCACAAACGCUUAAAACUCUAAGGACUUGGCGGUGCCCCAAACCCACCUAGAGGAGCCUGUUCUAUAAUCGAUACCCCACGAUAUACCCGACCGCUCCUUGCCAGAGCAGCCUACAUACCGCCGUCGCCAGUUCACCUUUCCUGAGAGCACAACAGUGAGCACAAUAGCCUCAACCUCGCUAAUACGACAGGUCAAGGUAUAGCCCAUGGAGCGGAAGAAAUGGGCUACAUUUUCUAAAUUAGAAAACUCCACGAAAAGGGGCGUGAAACCACCCCUAGAAGGCGGAUUUAGCAGUAAAGUGGGACAAUAAAGCCCCC
Molecule: ribosomal RNA, 368 nt
Filed under: Vultur gryphus (Andean condor)
Lineage: Eukaryota; Metazoa; Chordata; Aves; Accipitriformes; Cathartidae
Description: partial 12S ribosomal RNA
Rfam family: Bacterial small subunit ribosomal RNA
Source: RNAcentral